This 811-nucleotide long non-coding RNA is filed under the name Rattus norvegicus (Norway rat). RNAcentral describes it as "long non-coding RNA NONRATT006201". The record is from RNAcentral. Lineage: Eukaryota; Metazoa; Chordata; Mammalia; Rodentia; Muridae.
CAGAAGACAACCCGUAUCAUAGCCAGUUGCCUAUGAGCUGGUGAGCUGAGACGUGAGCAUGCCAAGACUCCUUUGUGCUUGCUCAAAACCAUUCCCUCCUGGCCAGGUUGGCUCGUCAGUAUGUGUCAAAGCAUGUGCAGCAGUGAGGUGCCAAUGUCAAGAUGUGUGUGGUCUGUCCCUGCUGCAGGCCCUCUCCCUGCCUCCCUCCCCACCCACCCUCCCCUGUCCUCACCACCAUUAUAACGUCCAAUGAGGCUGAAGGAAGCCCCAGCCCCCAGGGAGACCCAGGACCAGUCUGAUGUCUCUUCUGGCAAUAGAGCAGCCUGUGGUAAACUUCCACACAAGCCACCACCAUCCCAACCCUGGUCCCCAAGGUUUCCACGAUUCCACAUUAGAAAGCUGUGUUCCGAUGACUCCUACCUCUUGUCCGGUUCCAACAGGCCCAUUCCAAGAAAGAGUUAGGAAGAAAAGAGACAGAGGGGUAGAACACAGGGAGAAGGCCUCAGCUGUCCCAACCCUCACGGUCUUUCUCCCACUGGCUGCUGGCGUCAUUCUGGGGACCCUGGUCUCCAGCUUUUCCCUUCCUGUGGGACAAAGGGAGUAGAGCUGGACCCUACUGCUGACAGGCUCAGAUCUGGUUCCCUGUCUGAAGGGACACUCGGUCUGAGACCACCUUCCUGCCCUUCCUCUGUCCCAACCCCCCCUUCCCUGUGUGUUUCACCAGUUAAGCCCCAGUGACCCUGUACCCAUCAGUGGUUUGGGAUUAUUAGUUCCGUCUUUUUUUUAAUUAAAUAAAAACGUUUUUAAAAUG